Molecule: ribosomal RNA, 934 nt
Filed under: Lactobacillus sp. 16DCCH01MX
Lineage: Bacteria; Bacillati; Bacillota; Bacilli; Lactobacillales; Lactobacillaceae
Description: bacterial SSU rRNA
Rfam family: Bacterial small subunit ribosomal RNA
Source: RNAcentral
UGCUAUACAUGCAAGUCGAACGCGUUGGCCCAAUUGAUUGAUGGUGCUUGCACCUGAUUGAUUUUGGUCGCCAACGAGUGGCGGACGGGUGAGUAACACGUAGGUAACCUGCCCAGAAGCGGGGGACAACAUUUGGAAACAGAUGCUAAUACCGCAUAACAACGUUGUUCGCAUGAACAACGCUUAAAAGAUGGCUUCUCGCUAUCACUUCUGGAUGGACCUGCGGUGCAUUAGCUUGUUGGUGGGGUAAUGGCCUACCAAGGCGAUGAUGCAUAGCCGAGUUGAGAGACUGAUCGGCCACAAUGGGACUGAGACACGGCCCAUACUCCUACGGGAGGCAGCAGUAGGGAAUCUUCCACAAUGGGCGCAAGCCUGAUGGAGCAACACCGCGUGAGUGAAGAAGGGUUUCGGCUCGUAAAGCUCUGUUGUUAAAGAAGAACACGUAUGAGAGUAACUGUUCAUACGUUGACGGUAUUUAACCAGAAAGUCACGGCUAACUACGUGCCAGCAGCCGCGGUAAUACGUAGGUGGCAAGCGUUAUCCGGAUUUAUUGGGCGUAAAGAGAGUGCAGGCGGUUUUCUAAGUCUGAUGUGAAAGCCUUCGGCUUAACCGGAGAAGUGCAUCGGAAACUGGAUAACUUGAGUGCAGAAGAGGGUAGUGGAACUCCAUGUGUAGCGGUGGAAUGCGUAGAUAUAUGGAAGAACACCAGUGGCGAAAGCGGCUACCUGGUCUGCAACUGACGCUGAGACUCGAAAGCAUGGGUAGCGAACAGGAUUAGAUACCCUGGUAGUCCAUGCCGUAAACGAUGAGUGCUAGGUGUUGGAGGGUUUCCGCCCUUCAGUGCCGAGCUAACGCAUUAAGCACUCCGCCUGGGAGUACGACCGCAAGUUGAAACUCAAAGGAAUUGACGGGGCCGCACAGCGGUGGAGCAUGU